UACGUAGGGGGCGAGCGUUGUCCGAAUUUACUGGGCGUAAAGCGUGCGCAGGCGGUUCGUUGUGUCGGCGGUGAAAGCCCCGGGCUCAACCUGGGAAUGGCCGUUGAAACUGGCGAACUGGAGUGUGGCAGAGGGGGGUGGAAUUCCGCGUGUAGCAGUGAAAUGCGUAGAGAUGCGGAGGAACACCGAUGGCGAAGGCAGCCCCCUGGGCUAACACUGACGCUCAGGCACGAAAGCGUGGGGAGCAAACAGG
This 253-nucleotide ribosomal RNA is filed under the name uncultured bacterium. Its description in RNAcentral is "partial 16S ribosomal RNA". It matches the Rfam family "Bacterial small subunit ribosomal RNA", at positions 524 to 776 of the family's 1533-position model. The record is from RNAcentral.